Molecule: ribosomal RNA, 825 nt
Filed under: uncultured bacterium
Lineage: Bacteria
Description: bacterial SSU rRNA
Rfam family: Bacterial small subunit ribosomal RNA
Source: RNAcentral
UUAACUUCGGGGUGNCAGGCGAUACGGGCAUAACUAGAGUGCUGUAGGGGAGACUGGAAUUCCUGGUGUAGCGGUGGAAUGCGCAGAUAUCAGGAGGAACACCGAUGGCGAAGGCAGGUCUCUGGGCAGUAACUGACGCUGAGGAGCGAAAGCAUGGGGAGCGAACAGGAUUAGAUACCCUGGUAGUCCAUGCUGUAAACGGUGGGCGUUAGGUGUGGGGACCGGUUUGGUUUCUGUGCCGUAGCUAACGCAUUAAGCGCCCCGCCUGGGGAGUACGGCCGCAAGGCUAAAACUCAAAGGAAUUGACGGGGGCCCGCGCAAGCGGCGGAGCAUGUGGAUUAAUUCGAUGCAACGCGAAGAACCUUACCUGGGUUUGACAUGCACCAGACGGUUGUAGAGAUACGUACCUCCCUUUGUGGUUGGUGUGCAGGUGGUGCAUGGUUGUCGUCAGCUCGUGUCGUGAGAUGUUGGGUUAAGUCCCGCAACGAGCGCAACCCUUGUCUUAUGUUGCCAGCACUUUGGGUGGGGACUCAUGAGAGACUGCCGGGGUUAACUCGGAGGAAGGUGGGGAUGACGUCAAAUCAUCAUGCCCUUUAUGCCCUGGGCUUCACACAUGCUACAAUGGUUAGUACAACGCGCUGCGAGCCUGUGAGGGUGAGCGAAUCGCUGAAAGCUAAUCUCAGUUCGGAUUGGGGUCUGCAACUCGACCCCAUGAAGUCGGAGUCGCUAGUAAUCGCAGAUCAGCAAUGCUGCGGUGAAUACGUUCCCGGGCCUUGUACACACCGCCCGUCACGUCAUGAAAGUUGGUAACACCCGAAGCCCAUG